Alosa sapidissima (American shad) is the source of this 181-nucleotide long non-coding RNA. RefSeq lists it as uncharacterized. The transcript is spliced from 2 exons. The record is from RefSeq and is a predicted model, not a curated record. NCBI's taxonomy places the organism in Eukaryota, Metazoa, Chordata, Actinopteri, Clupeiformes, Clupeidae.
AUUUGCCGUCAACACCCACGGCAAAUUUGGCAAUGUCUUAUUCCGGAAAGGUGAGGUGGGUGACUGGAGGAAUCACUUCAGUGAGGCCCAGAGCCAACAGAUGGACGAGGAGUUCAACAAGAGACUAGCAGGAACCAAACUGGGGGCCCUGCUCCAAUACGACACCUACUGCAAGUAGGGA